RNAcentral lists this ribosomal RNA (458 nucleotides) under uncultured bacterium. Its description in RNAcentral is "partial 16S ribosomal RNA". It matches the Rfam family "Bacterial small subunit ribosomal RNA", at positions 338 to 795 of the family's 1533-position model. The record is from RNAcentral.
CCUACGGGAGGCAGCAGUGAGGAAUAUUGGUCAAUGGGCGAGAGCCUGAACCAGCCAAGUCGCGUGAGGGAGUACUGCCCUAUGGGUUGUAAACCUCUUUUGUCGGGGAGCAAAAGCCGGACGUGUCCGGCUGUGAGAGUACCCGAAGAAAAAGCAUCGGCUAACUCCGUGCCAGCAGCCGCGGUAAUACGGAGGAUGCGAGGGGUAUCCGGAUUUAUUGGGGUUAAAGGGUGCGCAGGCGGAUUUGUAAGUCAGCGGUCAAAUCGUGGGGCUCAACCCCAUCCAGCCGUUGAAACUGGGGAUCUAGAGUGUGCGAGAGGUAUGCGGAAUGCGUGGUGUAGCGGUGAAAUGCAUAGAUAUCACGCAGAACCCCGAUUGCGAAGGCAGCAUACCGGUGCACAACUGACGCUCAGGCACGAAAGCGUGGGUAUCGAACAGGAUUAGAUACCCCAGUAGUC